UCAAGUAUAAGCAAUCUAUACGGUGAACUGCGAAUGGCUCAUUAAAUCAGUUAUCGUUUAUUUGAUAGUACCUUACUACAUGGAUAACCGUGGUAAUUCUAGAGCUAAUACAUGCUAAAAACCUCGACUUCGGAAGGGGUGUAUUUAUUAGAUAAAAAACCAAUGCCCUUCGGGCUCCUUGGUGAUUCAUGAUAACUUAACGAAUCGCAUGGCCUUGCGCCGGCGAUGGUUCAUUCAAAUUUCUGCCCUAUCAACUUUCGAUGGUAGGAUAGUGGCCUACCAUGGUUUCAACGGGUAACGGGGAAUUAGGGUUCGAUUCCGGAGAGGGAGCCUGAGAAACGGCUACCACAUCCAAGGAAGGCAGCAGGCGCGCAAAUUAGGGAAUCCCGACACGGGGAGGUAGUGACAAUAAAUACUGAUACAGGGCUCUUUUGGGUCUUGUAAUUGGAAUGAGUACAAUUUAAAUCCCUUAACGAGGAACAANNNNNNNGCAAGUCUGGUGCCAGCAGCCNNNNNNNNNNNNNNNCCAAUAGCGUAUAUUAAAGUAAUUGCAGUUAAAAAGCUCGUAGUUGAACCUUGGGCCUGGCUGGCGGUCCGCCUAACCGCGUGUACUGGUCCGGCCGGGCCUUUCCUUCUGGGGAGCCGCAUGCCCUUCACUGGGUGUGUCGGGGAACCAGGACUUUUACUUUGAAAAAAUUAGAGUGUUCAAAGCAGGCCUAUGCUCGAAUACAUUAGCAUGGAAUAAUAGAAUAGGACGUGUGGUUCUAUUUUGUUGGUUUCUAGGACCGCCGUAAUGAUUAAUAGGGAUAGUCGGGGGCAUCAGUAUUCAAUUGUCAGAGGUGAAAUUCUUGGAUUUAUUGAAGACUAACUACUGCGAAAGCAUUUGCCAAGGAUGUUUUCAUUAAUCAGUGAUCGAAAGUUAGGGGAUCGAAGACGAUCAGAUACCGUCGUAGUCUUAACCAUAAACUAUGCCGACUAGGGAUCGGGCGAUGUUAUUAUUUUGACUCGCUCGGCACCUUACGUGA
RNAcentral lists this ribosomal RNA (1025 nucleotides) under Symbiotaphrina kochii. Its description in RNAcentral is "partial 18S ribosomal RNA". It matches the Rfam family "Eukaryotic small subunit ribosomal RNA", at positions 59 to 1095 of the family's 1831-position model. Lineage: Eukaryota; Fungi; Ascomycota; Symbiotaphrinales; Symbiotaphrinaceae. The record is from RNAcentral.